Molecule: ribosomal RNA, 449 nt
Filed under: uncultured bacterium
Lineage: Bacteria
Description: bacterial SSU rRNA
Rfam family: Bacterial small subunit ribosomal RNA
Source: RNAcentral
GAUGAACGCUGGCGGCGUGCCUAACACAUGCAAGUCGAGCGAUCUCUUCGGAGAGAGCGGCGGACGGGUGAGUAACGCGUGGGUAACCUGCCCUGUACACACGGAUAACAUACCGAAAGGUAUACUAAUACGGGAUAACAUACGAAAGUCGCAUGGCUUUUGUAUCAAAGCUCCGGCGGUACAGGAUGGACCCGCGUCUGAUUAGCUAGUUGGUAAGGUAAUGGCUUACCAAGGCAACGAUCAGUAGCCGACCUGAGAGGGUGAUCGGCCACACUGGAACUGAGACACGGUCCAGACUCCUACGGGAGGCAGCAGUGGGGAAUAUUGCACAAUGGGCGAAAGCCUGAUGCAGCAACGCCGCGUGAGCGAUGAAGGCCUUCGGGUCGUAAAGCUCUGUCCUCAAGGAAGAUAAUGACGGUACUUGAGGAGGAAGCCCCGGCUAACUACGU